CGUGGGGAACCGUGCCCCACUAGUCUGGGAUACCACUUGGAAACAGGUGCUAAUACCGGAUAAGAAAGCGGAUCGCAUGAUCAGCUUUUAAAAGGCGGCGUAAGCUGUCGCUAUGGGAUGGCCCCGCGGUGCAUUAGCUAGUGGGUAAGGUAAAGGCUUACCAAGGCGAUGAUGCAUAGCCGAGUUGAGAGACUGAUCGGCCACAUUGGGACUGAGACACGGCCCAAACUCCUACGGGAGGCAGCAGGG
RNAcentral lists this ribosomal RNA (249 nucleotides) under uncultured Lactobacillus sp. Its description in RNAcentral is "partial 16S ribosomal RNA". It matches the Rfam family "Bacterial small subunit ribosomal RNA", at positions 116 to 354 of the family's 1533-position model. The record is from RNAcentral. Lineage: Bacteria; Bacillati; Bacillota; Bacilli; Lactobacillales; Lactobacillaceae.